RNAcentral lists this long non-coding RNA (226 nucleotides) under Mytilus galloprovincialis (Mediterranean mussel). Lineage: Eukaryota; Metazoa; Mollusca; Bivalvia; Mytilida; Mytilidae. The record is from RNAcentral.
ACGUCAUUGGAAUGCAACUGCAAUACACAUUCUGAGGUCACGCAGGUUCAUACAAUACUCAGUCCGGCAGUGGGCGGAGCUUUAAAGCGAUAUCUGUAUAGUAUACAGAUACAGCAUAGCGAUAUAUGUAGGGCUGUUUCUGUAUAGUAGAACACCCAAUUGCAGGAUAAAUAGAAAUAUACGGUCAACGCAGUUUGACUGCUCAAAUAGAACGAGUGCAGUAUAA